This 182-nucleotide unclassified non-coding RNA is filed under the name Rhizophagus sp. (in: glomeromycetes). Its description in RNAcentral is "Rhizophagus sp. (in: Fungi) partial internal transcribed spacer region". The stretch from base 1 to 46 matches the Rfam family "Eukaryotic small subunit ribosomal RNA", at positions 1786 to 1831 of the family's 1831-position model. The record is from RNAcentral. Lineage: Eukaryota; Fungi; Glomeromycota; Glomeromycetes; Glomerales; Glomeraceae. RNAcentral also lists the same sequence under 1 other name.
AAGUCGUAACAAGGUUUCCGUAGGUGAACCUGCGGAAGGAUCAUUACCGAUUUUAGCGGACCUGAUCUUUGAUCAUGGUCUCGCGAAAACUUGUAUUUAAAACCCCACUCUUAUAAAUUGAAUCAUUUUAUUAUGUAUAUAGUAAAUAAAGAUCACUUUCAACAACGGAUCUCUUGGCUCUC